This 407-nucleotide ribosomal RNA is filed under the name uncultured Glomeromycotina. RNAcentral's name for it is "SSU rRNA". It matches the Rfam family "Eukaryotic small subunit ribosomal RNA", at positions 688 to 1092 of the family's 1831-position model. The record is from RNAcentral. Lineage: Eukaryota; Fungi; Glomeromycota.
AUGAGUCUCUACCUUCUGAGGAACUUUCAUGCCAUUUAUUUGGUGUGGUUGGAAAUCAGGACUGUUACUUUGAAAAAAUUAGAGUGUUUAAAGCAGGCUAACGUCUGAAUACAUUAGCAUGGAAUAAUGAAAUAGGACGGAUUGAUUCUAUUUCGUUGGUUUCUAGGGUCACCGUAAUGAUUAAUAGGGAUAGUUGGGGGCAUUAGUAUUCAAUUGUCAGAGGUGAAAUUCUUGGAUUUAUUGAAGACUAACUACUGCGAAAGCAUUUGCCAAGGAUGUUUUCAUUAAUCAAGAACGAAAGUUAGGGGAUCGAAGACGAUCAGAUACCGUCGUAGUCUUAACCAUAAACUAUGCCGACUAGGGAUCGGACGCAGUUAAUUUUAUAAUGACGUGUUCGGCACCUUACG